Molecule: long non-coding RNA, 598 nt
Organism: Plutella xylostella (diamondback moth)
Lineage: Eukaryota; Metazoa; Arthropoda; Insecta; Lepidoptera; Plutellidae
Source: RefSeq, a predicted model, not a curated record
ACGUAUUUAUAUUUACCAAAAACGCAUAUGAUUAUAAAAAAAGUACCUACCCAGGAAUCGAUCCAGCAUCGAUUAUUUUUUCAUUCUAGCAUAGUUCGGAAGCAAGUAACAUUGCACUAGGUACACCUCUAUGGCGCAUGCGCGCUGGAUAGCAAGAGAGGCGCGCCGCCGCGCCGCCGCGGCGCCAUCACCGUCACCGCCAUAUUGAAUUUUCCGCCGAAGAGUUUGCCGCUAUUUUUUAAAGUAUUUUUGUUAAGUCUUUACAAUACAAAACAAACAUCUAUUAUAAAUUAUUAUGUUUGUGUUUGCAAUAUGCAAUUGUAAAAUCGAUAAGUGACAACAACAAAGAAAAUGAAAAAUCAACCACACCCAUAAACUAAACAUGAAACGCUGGAUACAAGAUAUUAAUUCCUCUCCGGGACAACAAUACUAAAACGACCAUCAGACCACCUAGUUACCUACCUACUAACUAGAAGUAUAAUGGAAAUAAGAUACAGAAAUGAAAUCAAGCAAUUGUGUAUAUUGGUGUCAGAAAAAUUACUCAACCAGUGUGUGUUGUGUGUGUUAUUCACCCAAAUAAAGUUUUACGUCCAUAAAA